RNAcentral lists this ribosomal RNA (253 nucleotides) under uncultured bacterium. RNAcentral describes it as "partial 16S ribosomal RNA". It matches the Rfam family "Bacterial small subunit ribosomal RNA", at positions 524 to 776 of the family's 1533-position model. The record is from RNAcentral.
UACGUAGGUGACAAGCGUUGUCCGGAUUUACUGGGCGUAAAGAGCGCGCAGGCGGUCGAUCAAGUCGAGUGUGAAAGCCCCCGGCUCAACUGGGGAGGGUCAUUCGAUACUGAUCGACUCGAAGGCAGGAGAGGGUAGUGGAAUUCCCGGUGUAGUGGUGAAAUGCGUAGAUAUCGGGAGGAACACCAGUGGCGAAGGCGGCAUCCUGGACCGACACUGACGCUGAGGAGCGAAAGCCAGGGGAGCAAACGGG